CUGAUAUUAACUUCAGUUGAGUCAUUUAUUUACUGGUGUUUCGCUGAAAAAAUUGAUACAACACAUACAGGAAGCAUGAUAAACAUUUCAUUGCUGCAGAGACCAGCUUCAGGGAAGGAGAGGUGCUCCAGACCUCUGAUCAUCUUUGUGGCCCUUUUCUGGGCCCUCUCCAACAGCUCCACAUCCUUCCUGCAUUGAGGGUCCCAGACCUGGACACAGUACUCCAGAUGGGGCCUCACGAGGGCCUCCCUGUCCCUGCUGGCCAUCCCUCUUCUGAUGGAGCUCAGGAUACUCUUGGCCUUCACAGCUGCAAGAGCACACUGCUGGCUCAUGAAGUUUUUCAUCCACCAGGACUACCAGGUCCUUCCUUGCAGGGCUGCUCUCAAGGAGUUCUCCCAGUAUACGAAUCUGGGAUUACUCUGACCCAAGUGUAAAACCUUACACUUUGCUAUGUUGAACCUCAUUAGAUUCACACAGACCCACCUCUCAAGUUUGCUGAAGUCCCCCUGGAUGGCAUCCCUUCCUUCUAACAUGUCAAUCGUACCACUUAACUUGGUGUCAUCAGCAAACUUGCUGAGAGUGCACUUGAGACCAUCAUUGAUGUCACUGAUGAAGAUGUUGAAGAGACAGUGAGAGUUCAUACUGAGAUGCGGGAGACCUCGUGCUUACGGGCUCUCAUCCUGGUGGGGGACUUCAACCAUCCGGAUAUCUGUUGGAAAGACCACACGGUGAGCUGCAAGAGGUCCAGAAGGCUCGUGGAAUCCACUGAUGACAACUUUCUGGUCCAAGUAGUGGACAGACCAACCAGAGGUGAAGCGUUGCUGGACCUGCUGCUCACCAGUGUGGAAGAGAUCAUCAAAGAUGUCAACGUUGGAGGCAGCCUCGGCUGCAGCGACCAUGCCCUGGUUGAGUUCGUGAUCUCAAGGGAUGUGGGCCUGGCAAAGGGUGGGGUCAGGACCCUGAACUUUGGAAGAGUGAAUUUUAAGCUGUUCAAUGGAUUGUUGACUAAGAUCCCCUGGGAUGUUGUCCUUAAAGAUAUAGAUGUUGAGGAGAGCUGGCUACUCUUCAAGGAUGCUCUCCUGAAAGCACAAGAGGUCUCCAUCCCUCUGAAUAGGAAAGUGGGCAGAUGAGAUAGGAAACUGGCAUGGCUCGGUGUCUUGCUCUAAUUUAUAGGAGGGAGAGGAGGUUCUUUGAAAUAUGUAUGCCUGGCAUGAGAUUAAGAAACAACGGUUCAAAUGUUGGUCCAACCAGUUUAUUACAAAUCUUAAUAAGGGAGAUGAAGAAAGGGGAGGACGGACACUAUUACGGAUUGGGGUGAUGGGGAAGGGAAGGCGAGUGAUAGAAAAGAGAGAAAGAAGCAAGAAUUGCGUAAAGCGGGGAGAGUGACCACCAGGAUCCGGCAGUAGUCCCGUUGCACGACGUUCCGACGGUCCAAGGCCGAAGGGCAGGAGCAGCGAGGCCGGUCUUGGGCAAUGGGAGGGUGCAGGUACCGGGUGGGUCCAGGAAGAAGCCGCAGAGUAAGUCAGGGAGGAAGCAGCAGGUCUCAGGUAGCAGGCCCAGGGAAGUCCGUCAGCAAACGGUCUGUAGAGAAGGAUCUGAAGGCAGAAACCUCGAGUCCGUCGUGGUGAGGGAUCUGAUGGCAGAAACCCUUCACUGGUCUGUCGUGGUGAGAGAUCAGCCUCUCUGUCGUGGUGAUGGAUCAGAUGGCAGAAAACCCCUCAAGUCUGUCGUGGUGAGAGAUCAGCCUCUCAUCUGCCAUGGUUGUUGGACCCUCUUUUAUCCUCCAUUUUCUCCUGCCUACGUGACAUCCCUGGGUGCUUGAGCAAGAAUUACGUGCAUACCUCCUGAGAUGGCCAUCUUCCUCGAGAUAAGUCCACACAAAAAGACUGUUUCCCGGCCAUUAGCAGCAGCUUAUCCCUCUCUCGUUGCCCCUGGCCUUGUCCAUCUGUGCUCCUUAGAGGAUUUCACAACCUUUAGCCAGACCUGUCCAUCAGUGUCCUCCAGACAGAAGAUUUCUCUACCUUUGCCCAGGACUUGCCUGAACUUGUUCCUCAGCAAACUUUGAGUCAAUCAUAUAAAAGAAUAGUCUCUUACACUCAGCAAGGACCUGCUGGGCACACUGAGGGUGAAGAAAGCUGCAUACAAGCUCUGGAAACAAGAGCGUGUCAUUUGGGAAGAGUACAGGGAUGCUGUCUGGACUUGCAGACGUAGGAUCAGGAAAGCCAAGGUGCAGGUAGAACUGAACUUGGAGAGGGAUGUGAAAAACAAUAAGAAGACAUUCUACAGGUACAUUGGCCAGAAGAGACAGGCCAAAAUGGGUGCACCUUCUUUAGUAAAUUUAAAAGGAGAACAGGCUUCAA
This is a long non-coding RNA of Gallus gallus (chicken), 2360 nucleotides long. The record is from Ensembl. NCBI's taxonomy places the organism in Eukaryota, Metazoa, Chordata, Aves, Galliformes, Phasianidae.